GCUCAGUUGGUUAAGUGUCCAACUCUUGAUUUCAGCUCAGAUCGUGAUCUCAGCAUCGUGGGUUCAAGUCCCGCAUUGGGCU
RNAcentral lists this transfer RNA (82 nucleotides) under Ailuropoda melanoleuca (giant panda). It matches the Rfam family "tRNA". Rfam says of the family: Transfer RNA (tRNA) molecules are approximately 80 nucleotides in length. Their secondary structure includes four short double-helical elements and three loops (D, anti-codon, and T loops). Further hydrogen bonds mediate the characteristic L-shaped molecular structure. tRNAs have two regions of fundamental functional importance: the anti-codon, which is responsible for specific mRNA codon recognition, and the 3' end, to which the tRNAs corresponding amino acid is attached (by aminoacyl-tRNA synthetases). tRNAs cope with the degeneracy of the genetic code in two manners: having more than one tRNA (with a specific anti-codon) for a particular amino acid; and 'wobble' base-pairing, i.e. permitting non-standard base-pairing at the 3rd anti-codon position. The record is from Rfam by way of RNAcentral. Lineage: Eukaryota; Metazoa; Chordata; Mammalia; Carnivora; Ursidae.